Molecule: non-coding RNA, 72 nt
Organism: Megalops atlanticus (tarpon)
Lineage: Eukaryota; Metazoa; Chordata; Actinopteri; Elopiformes; Megalopidae
Source: the annotation of a GenBank genome assembly
GGCUUGAUGGUCCAGGAGUAUGAUUCUUGCUUAGGGUGCGAGAUGUCUUGGGUUCAAAUCCUUAAUGAGCCC